RNAcentral lists this long non-coding RNA (495 nucleotides) under Calidris pygmaea (Spoon-billed sandpiper). Its description in RNAcentral is "lncRNA (ENSCPGG00000002834.1)". Lineage: Eukaryota; Metazoa; Chordata; Aves; Charadriiformes; Scolopacidae. The record is from RNAcentral.
UAGUUACCAAGAGGAGGUAAUAUUUAUGCCAGUUUUUUCAUGGCAGGUCAAUUAUUUUGUUAGCACAGGCAACAGUGUAUUUGUAUUGUGCAACUCUUCCUAGGAACUGAACUGUGCUGGAGGACAGGAAAUCAUGGGAAGCAGGAGGACUUGAAUUAAGAGGAAGGGAUUUGUUUUUCUUGUGUUUGGAUACCAGUGCCUGUUGAGCUAGAGUGACAUACUGUACAAUCUGUGCUUCUCAUUAUGCAACUAAGCAAAAGGAAGACCUGCAAAAGAUUAAAGUAAAAUGCCCUUCAAUUCAGGAUCCGUGGGAACUCCUCUGCACUCCUGUGACUUCAUGCAGCUGCUGGCUGUCCAGUGCUAAUGCCACCUCUAGGGUGCCUAUUAGACCAGCAAGGUAAAGAACUUUAUUUUCAGUUUAAACCUCGUGAAAGAUGGGAGGAAUUGGUGAAAUUAUCAAAGAUUUUCAGUCUAAGAGAAAGUGUGCUCGACUAA